GACGAACGCUGGCGGCGUGCCUAAUACAUGCAAGUAGAACGCUGAAGGAGGAGCUUGCUUCUCUGGAUGAGUUGCGAACGGGUGAGUAACGCGUAGGUAACCUGCCUGGUAGCGGGGGAUAACUAUUGGAAACGAUAGCUAAUACCGCAUAAUAGCAGUUGUUGCAUGACAACUGUUUGAAAGGUACAAUUGCACCACUACCAGAUGGACCUGCGUUGUAUUAGCUAGUUGGUGGGGUAACGGCUCACCAAGGCGACGAUACAUAGCCGACCUGAGAGGGUGAUGGGCGACACUGGGACUGAGACGAGGCCCAGACGCCUACGGGGGGCAGCAGUAGGGAAUCUUCGGAAAUAGACGUAAGUCUGACCGAGCAACGCCGGGUGAGUGAAGAAGGUUUUCGGAUCGGAAAGCUCUGUUGUAAGAGAAGAACGAGUGUGAGAGUGGAAAGUUCACACUGUGACGGUAUCUGACCAGAAAGGGACGGCUAACUACGUG
Molecule: ribosomal RNA, 495 nt
Filed under: uncultured bacterium
Lineage: Bacteria
Description: partial 16S ribosomal RNA
Rfam family: Bacterial small subunit ribosomal RNA
Source: RNAcentral